Molecule: ribosomal RNA, 239 nt
Filed under: Anaplasma phagocytophilum
Lineage: Bacteria; Pseudomonadati; Pseudomonadota; Alphaproteobacteria; Rickettsiales; Anaplasmataceae
Description: partial 16S ribosomal RNA
Rfam family: Bacterial small subunit ribosomal RNA
Source: RNAcentral
GCCGGAUAUUAUCCGCCUUAUUAGAUGAGCCUAUGUUAGAUUAGCUAGUUGGUGGGGUAAUGGCCUACCAAGGCGAUGAUCUAUAGCUGGUCUGAGAGGAUGAUCAGCCACACUGGAACUGAGACACGGUCCAGACUCCUACGGGAGGCAGCAGUGGGGAAUAUUGGACAAUGGGCGCAAGCCUGAUCCAGCUAUGCCGCGUGAGUGAGGAAGGCCUUAGGGUUGUAAAACUCUUUCAG